AGAACAGCCAGGCCCUGCAACAAGCAGAAUUAGAUCAUCAAAUACUGUUUCAUAAUUAAUUGAAAAUCCAUAUUGUCAAUUAAAAUAAUGUAAUUUUGUUUCUUUCCUAACAAUGCACAUUUUUCUCAUUUGAGUCAAUUUUGAAGGCAUGAAUGUGAAGCAUAUUGAGAAGCUGCCAACCUCCAUUCAACCAGAGAACCAAG
This 203-nucleotide unclassified non-coding RNA is filed under the name Hevea brasiliensis (rubber tree). The record is from RNAcentral. Lineage: Eukaryota; Viridiplantae; Streptophyta; Magnoliopsida; Malpighiales; Euphorbiaceae.